UAAUAGUCCCCUGGGAAUUGAAAUCAGAAGAGUAGCUAUUUCUAGGAUAAAAGAAGAAUUACCUGAAAAGGAAUAAGAGGGAUUUCUCUGUGAGGAUGAAAUGUCUGAAUCCUAAUUUGGUGUGCUGUUAAUAGGUUAUGGAGUGAUCCUCUCCCAACAGAGGUUAUGGAGUGAUCUCGUCUGCAGAGGAGAAGGACAAAAAGGCAGAGGAAUCCCUCAUUUCAAAAGAGAUUAAGGAGUUGUGAAAACAGUAUCAAAUUUUGUAGAAAAGCCGCACUAUCAGAGAACAGUAUGUUGAAUGAGCAGAUUUGCACCAGGGAAAGGAAAAUGGCAUGCGCAUUGAAGGCAUUGGGUUUAGGAAUUUAAAGUGUUGUACCAGUCUUUGGAAGUCUCUUAUCAGGGCUUCCAGAGCACGACUGACAAUGUGAUAGGGUGCUGAGUCAUGUCAACUUGUAUUUACUGUGUGUGUCCUAUCCCAUAAUUCACUCUGUUAUAAUUGGAUGUGUGAAAUACGGUCCUUCAAUAUGCAUGAAUCUUCAAGGCAUUCCAGGUGAAGAAAGGUUUCUGUAGGCCAUGCAGGAGGAUUUGGCAGAAAUGUGUCCUGGUUAGGGAUUUGGGGAAUUUUUUAGGGCAGCCUCCGGGGUCUUUGUUUUUCUCAUCCCUGCCUCCAGAGAAUGGGCCUCAGGACAAAGGGGAAGGGGGUAAUGACACUUGAUCCUGGUUGCCCAGGUUCAGGUGAGUGGAAGGGAAGUUGUCCAUUGUAUAGUGUGAUAAUUUGAUAUGAAUGUAUACAAUGUGUGAUGAUCAAAUCAGGUGGCUAAUACUUCUAUUUCCUACAUUUUAAAAAUUUUGGACUAACACAUAGUACAGUAAUUGUACAUAUUGAUGAAGUACAGUAGGAUAUUUCAGUGCAUGUGUUCAAUAUGUAUUAAUGAAAUUUGGGUAAUU
This 948-nucleotide long non-coding RNA is filed under the name Heterocephalus glaber (naked mole-rat). RNAcentral describes it as "lncRNA (ENSHGLG00100046356.1)". Lineage: Eukaryota; Metazoa; Chordata; Mammalia; Rodentia; Bathyergidae. The record is from RNAcentral.